CCAAUAGCGUAUAUUAAAGUUGUUGCAGUUAAAAAGCUCGUAGUUGAAUUUCGAAAUUUUUUUAUCGGUUGAAUCAACAGGUUCGUACUGAUUUUAAGAAUUUCUACCUUCUGGAGAACCUUAAUGUCAUUUAUUUGAUGUUUUGGGAAACCAGGACUGUUACCUUGAAAAAAUUAGAGUGUUUAAAGCAGGCUUAUGUCUGAAUAUAUUAGCAUGGAAUAAUGAAAUAGGACGGCAUGGUUCUAUUUUGUUGGUUUCUAGGAUCACCGUAAUGAUUAAUAGGGAUAGUUGGGGGCAUUAGUAUUCAAUUGUCAGAGGUGAAAUUCUUGGAUUUAUUGAAGACUAACUUCUGCGAAAGCAUUUGCCAAGGAUGUUUUCAUUAAUCAAGAACGAAAGUUAGGGGAUCGAAGACGAUCAGAUACCGUCGUAGUCUUAACCAUAAACUAUGCCGACUAGGAAUCGGACGAAGUUAAUUUUUUAAUGACUCGUUCGGCGCCUUACG
RNAcentral lists this ribosomal RNA (502 nucleotides) under uncultured Glomeromycotina. RNAcentral's name for it is "partial small subunit ribosomal RNA". It matches the Rfam family "Eukaryotic small subunit ribosomal RNA", at positions 591 to 1092 of the family's 1831-position model. Lineage: Eukaryota; Fungi; Glomeromycota. The record is from RNAcentral. RNAcentral also lists the same sequence under 1 other name.